CAAGGAUGUGCAUCACUAAUAAAAACAUGUCGUUUUGACUAUUGCUUAGAUGCUGUUGAUAAACACGUAAGUUUAAUGUUUGUACAAGUUGUUUGACAAACAGUCAAAGAUGAAAAAUCAGCCAUUAAAGGUAGAUCUGAUUUUAACACUUCAUGAAACAUCUAUCUUUAGACAUUUUUUGUGUAUCUGAAAUAAAUAAAAUUAAAUAAAAUAAAUAAUUCUAGUGGACUGAAAAUAUAUUUUUCUCAGAAGUGAAGUAGAUUGACUGAACGUAUUAAAGUGAAUGUACAUACACAUUACUCUACAUGCCAAAUGAUUAUAAAAUUGGUUACAUUUAGACCAUUUUACAUUUUAAACAUAGAUUUGUACUGUUAUAAUACACUAAAUCAAUCAGAGGAAAUGGCCCCACUAAUAAUUAGAUUUUUUAACUUACAUGAUAAUAUGCUAUGUAAUAUUCCAUGAGUUAUUGUGAGCAGGCAAUCUAAACUAAGGACAUUAUAAUGCUCUGAAAGAAGAGGAUUUUGUUGCCUUGUUUUUUGUUGUCUGCAAUGAAUUCUAUGUGCCUAAUAUUACACAAUAGACCAACAUGGAUUCCUGUCUUGACAUGUGAAUUCCUACAUCAAUUAAAUUGUUUCUUUCAUCAUAUGAUGUGCAAGACAUGAUUGAAGUGUUGAAAUGUUUGCAGUAUAAACAUUUCAAUAUGUUCUGAUAUAUAAGGGUUAAUGUUAAUAUUCACCUAUAUUUAUUAUAACAACAAUGAAUUAACACUUAAAAAAUACCCUGUAACCUGUGUUACACAGCUGUUACACAUAUGUUUUACACUCAUUGCGCAUCUGAAACCUUAACAGCUCAUUAUUUAACGCAACGUACAAAUGCAAUUAAAAAGUUUAGGCAGACAGGAGCGAACUGCUUCCUGCUGGAGUUCCUCUGAGCCCGGGGUGUGACGUCACCCUCCCAGAAUGCAUGGCUUCCAGCGCGGCGCCCAGCAGUCCAGGCCCGUCCUAAACAUCCCCAGAACUUUUCCCAAAAUGUCGAUGUGGAGGGGCAAAGAAGAGUCGAGCCAGAACUGGACCGAGGCGUGUUCGGAUUUUAAAGAUGUCCACCUACCUCUGUUUGGCUGCUGAAUACUGAAAAAGGCUGUGGGCUGACACAAGGGCUCUUCUCAGGAAACACACAGACCCAGUCAGCGCGUUCAAAGCUCCUCACCACUGCAGCCCUGUUGGGGUUGUUAUGGCAGCUGCUCUGACAGAUACCAAGUACUGGACACAGAGAUCCCUCAGUAAGGCUGGACAGACAAAACCACCGUCUAAUGGUUGACAAACAGCUUGCGGCAUUACGUCUAGUACUCCCAGUAAACAAAGCAACCACGUGUUUGUAGGCUGAUGGUGAGAAUCCUCAUGAGUCUUGUCUGUAUCUGCUCAGACUCUUGGCCGGAGUCCCUGCGAAGCAGCAGAGCAAGC
Molecule: long non-coding RNA, 1460 nt
Filed under: Betta splendens (Siamese fighting fish)
Lineage: Eukaryota; Metazoa; Chordata; Actinopteri; Anabantiformes; Osphronemidae
Description: lncRNA (ENSBSLG00000024618.1)
Source: RNAcentral